GUCACGCACAGCAGCCUGGAAGGAGCUGGCAUUUGUUGGGAAAGGGCAAAAAGACCAGCCAGAAGGCCACUGAGGACCCGCUCUGGUGUCCAGGGAGCUGAGGGCCCUGGGGGAGGAGGGCAGGAAUGGUCUUUACACCAGUUCUCCCCGCUUCUGUGCCAGGGGCCUUGGAUCCAUGAUGAGGAGGCUGGAAAUGAUUGAGCUACUUUUGGUAUAAAUGCUUCUUUUGAAUAUUUUUCAAUAAAGCUGAAGAAAGAAGGAACCAAUCUAUCUUGAUGACUCCUAAUGCUUGAGAGACUGGGUAGCCACACCUUCCCCCAAGCAGAGGUAAAAGCAAGAGAGAGGUGGAGGAG
This 353-nucleotide long non-coding RNA is filed under the name Heterocephalus glaber (naked mole-rat). RNAcentral describes it as "lncRNA (ENSHGLG00000029436.2)". The record is from RNAcentral. Lineage: Eukaryota; Metazoa; Chordata; Mammalia; Rodentia; Bathyergidae.